Etheostoma spectabile (orangethroat darter) is the source of this 221-nucleotide long non-coding RNA. RefSeq lists it as uncharacterized. The transcript has 3 exons. NCBI's taxonomy places the organism in Eukaryota, Metazoa, Chordata, Actinopteri, Perciformes, Percidae. The record is from RefSeq and is a predicted model, not a curated record.
AAAUAUCCAAGAGACCAGCGGAGAGGAAGAGGAGAGUCAAGUGGAGAUCUUAGAGGAGGAAGAGCAUCACGCUGAUCUCGGGUCACAAAGAGCCGGACCACACACUCAAAACAAGCCUGCAGCCAACAACAGAAGGCGUCUCAAAGCUGCUGCAGUGACUCUGGGAGGGUUUUAUCUUCUGAUAUUGGCUGCACUCUUCAUUCGCUUCACUUUGCUGCAGA